AUUUGGGAAUUAAUAAAUUUAUAUUUAAUAAAAAUAAUUUUAAUUUAAUAAAUAUUUUAAUGGGGGUUAAAGUAUUUUUUAAAGAAAAAAUUUUUAAUUUUAUAGUAUAAUAGUAUUGUGUAAGAAUUUUGAAAUAAUUGAAAAUUUAAUUUUAAUAAAGUAAUUUUUAUUUGAUGUAUCUUGUGUAUCAGAGUUUAUUAAAAUUUUUAAUUUUUAAAUUAAUUUCUCGAAUUUAAAAGAGUUAAAUAAUUAUUAAAUUUAUUGUUGCAAAAAUAUUUUAAAUAAUUAUUUAGAAAUGAAAUGUUAAUCGUUUUUAAAUAUAUCUAGUUUUUAUAGAAAAAAUUUUAAUUUUAAAUUUAAUUUUAUUAUUAAUUAAUUAAUUAAUUAAAUAAUUAUUUAAAUUUUAUAUUUUAAGGGAUAAGCUUUAAAUUAAAUUUUUAUAAUAAAAAAUAUUUAUUUUUGAAAAUUUUAUAAUUUAUAUUGUUAAUAAAUUUUAUUUUAUUAUAAAUAAUUUCAUUUUAUUAAAAAAUUUAAAUUUUUAUUUAAUUUUUUAUAUAAAAUUUAUUUUUAAUUAUUAAAAAUUAAUUAUAAUGAUAAAAUUAGUAUAUUAUAUUUUAAAAAUUAUUUUUAAUUUGAAUUUUAUUAUUUAAUUUAAUUAAUUAAAAGGAAUUCGGCAAAUAUUUAUUUUCACUUGUUUAUCAAAAACAUGUCUUUUUGUUGAUUUAUUUAAAGUCUAAUCUGCCCACUGAUUUUAAUUGAAGGGCUGCAGUAUUUUGACUGUACAAAGGUAGCAUAAUCAUUAGUCUCUUAAUUGGUGACUUGUAUGAAAGAUUGGAUGAGAAAUAUACUGUCUCUUAAUUAAUGUGUAGAAUUUAAUUUUUUAUUUAAAAAGUUAAAAUAAAUUAAAAAGACGAGAAGACCCUAUAGAGUUUAAUAAAUUUUUUUAUGAUAAUUUUAUUUGUAUUAAAUUGAAAUAAUUUUAUAAAUUUAUUUAUUUUAUUGGGGUGAUAGAAAAAUAAAUUUAACUUUUUUUAAAGAAUUUAACAAAAAUAUAUGAUUAAAUGAUCCAGUUUAUUAUUGAUUAAAAGAUUAAAUUACCUUAGGGAUAACAGCGUAAUUUUUUUUUUUAGUUCGAAUAAUAAAAAAAGUUUGCGACCUCGAUGUUGGAUUAAGAUAAAAUUUAAAUGUAAAAGUUUAAAAUUUUGAUCUG
This 1210-nucleotide ribosomal RNA is filed under the name Biston panterinaria. RNAcentral describes it as "partial 16S ribosomal RNA". Lineage: Eukaryota; Metazoa; Arthropoda; Insecta; Lepidoptera; Geometridae. The record is from RNAcentral.